UUUCGCUUGGAGGAGGGUGGUGACGGUGACUUGGGGCGGGGCUGUGUUUGGCAGCGAUUGCAGCCAAGCACUUGCUUGAGCCACAGGCCUGGAAUUGAAAAGAGCGGGUGACGGGGCUGUGUUUGGCAGCCAGUAUGGCCAGGCGUUUGCUUGGGCUGCAGGCCCGAAGCUGGGAUGAGCGAGAGGCGGGGCUGUGUUAGGUGGCCAGUUCAGCCAAACGUUAGCGUGAGCCACGGGCUCGGAGCUGGGAGGAACGGGAGGUGGUGCUGUAUUUGCUGACCAGUUUGGCCAAGCGCUUGCACGUAUGUGACAGGCUGUUCGACCAAGCGCUAGCUUGAGCCUCGGGCACGAUGCUGGAAGGAGCGGGAGGUGGUGCUGUAUUUGCUGACCAGUUUGGCCAAGCGCUUGCACGGGGCUGCGAGGUCUGGAUUAAAAGUUCCGUGCGAUGGGGCUGAGAUAGGUGGAAGAGGCGGCCAGGAGCCUCCUUUAGCUACAGCCCCCUGUGCUGUUGGGAUGGGAGCCGCGGUGGGAGGCUGGGCUCCAGCCGACAUUGCGGGCACCCCUUGCUGAUGGCCUCUUGUUGCACCUUGAUAGGCCGCUGGGAGCUAGGCCUUGCGGCGGAGGAUGGUGGAGUGCUGUGAGGCGUAUUUCGGGUUACUCCUUUCUUUUUUUCCUUUCUUUGAGAAAUGUUAUUAUUUUGAAAAUUUGAGUGCAAGUCGUGAAGUUCAGACAUUGGGAAGACAUCGGUAAAGUAUGACAUCGGUUUUGGACAGGGCCUGCCUCAGACUCGACACCGUCCAUUUUUCGAUUGGCGAAAUCUUAGGCCUUGCCAAGCGGUACGAGAAUGCGGGGGAGUCGGGCGCAGUUCUCGCCGGAGGCGGCGAGGAUAGGCCUAGGCGUCUUGGCGUCUUGGCGAGUGGCUGCUCACAUAAUGCUCCAAAAUGCUGAUAAACCGUCGAUGGAUAGAGGUAAGUCAGCGAUAUUUAUACUAUGGGAUUGAUUACUUGAUUGUGGUCCACCUGUGUUGAUUAGGCUAAGUAUCUCAUGCGCUCCUUCUGAAUCUUGUUAGUAAAACAUCAUUUAUUGAAGCACAAGCAGAACAGCGGGUGGUGCUGAGUGAGAUGAUGGUGCUGGAGGCAGUGAUGAAUGGGUCCGUAGAUAAAGGCAUUCAGACGCUGGAGGGAGAGGGUGUACCACACACACACAAGAAGACAGAGAGCUUCUGGAAAUCGCUGGAGAGAGGUAAUGUAGAGAUAGAGUUAGUCCUUACUACUCAAGUUGUCCACCACGCCGCCGGGAGUCCAGGAUGUCACGAACUUCGUAGGCAGCACCAUAUUCAAGGAGGAGUGGAGGGGGGGGCUUCGGCUACGCCAGGUUCUGUGCAGGGAGAAACAGAGGGAUGGUAAGGCUUAAGGAGCUCAGGUGGUAAUUGGAGUUUGAAAGUAACUGGAUUGAUCUGCUCUAAGAUGGUGAAUGGGCCAAUGAAUCUGAGACUCAGCUUGCGGAAGGGUAGGCGCAGGCGCAUGUCCCGGCUGUACAGCCAGACCCUCUGACCAGGUUGGUAUUCCGGAGCAUCAGAUCGCGAAGGUCGGCUGUCAUCCUACGUAUUUGUAGAGCCUGUUGCAGUUGAUGGUGAGCCCAGACCCUAUCGCUCUCUCGGAACCAGUAGUCGAUGGAGGGGAUGUCCGAGGGUUCACUAUACUAUGGGAAGAGCGAUGGUUGUUAGUUGAGCACGCAUUGGAAUGGAGUGAGUCCGGUGGUGGAUUGUUGCAGGGCCCACACUAUGACGAAUAAAUCUUUGACUCAAAGACUUUCCAGUUAUUGUGUGGACUUGGUAGGCAGAGGGCACCGGAGAUGAAAUUGCCAGCUGACCCAGAAUCGAGGAGGGUGGAAACUGGAAGAGAGAUGUCAGUGGCAGUAAGUGUAACUAUAGUGGUGAGUGGUUUCAUUUGAUACUUUGAAGGGAGAAUGGAACUCAACCAGAGUAGGGUGCCGGCUUGGCCAUGGGCCUGGUGUGCACGGCAGAUGAGGAAGUGGUGGUGUUGUCGGCGGAAGUGCUCACAUGUGAUGGAGAUGCGGGUCCCUGGAAGGGGUCCGUGAGGCUCAUGCUUGUGCCGAUCGGUUUAGGUCCGGACUUCUGUUACGGAAUACCAGGACAGGAGGCUGAAAGUAACAAAAAACACAGUUUAUUGAGACACAAGCAGAGGAGCGGGGUGCUGGAUGAAGGGGGUUCAGAUGCUAGAGGCAGAGGGUGUACCACACACAAACACGAUGAAGACAGGGAGUUUCUGGAGAUAGCUAGAGAGAGGUAAGCAGAUAGCUGGAGAGAGGUAAGCAGAGAUAAAGUUAGUCUUUAGAGUUAGCAUUCAGGUAAGACCUUGUUGCGAACGAGAUCGGAUGCUGACUGAGUGCGUGUGUGGUAUUUGUAGUGCUAAGGUGAUUGCUGGUGGAUGAGGAUCAGGUGGGAGUGAUUAGUAUUCAGUUGAGGAAGUGUGCUGUGAUUGGUAGGAGGUGGAACCUGGUGUGUCUGUAACACUUAUGUUUCGCUUUAAGUUAUUAUAAAAAGGCCUAUAUAAUUAUAUACUGCAAUUGUAUUUAUCCAUUAGAAUUAUAUAUUUUUAAUUAUUGUUCUGUUCUGAUAAAUCUGUUAAAUGGUUCUCUGUGAUGUGCACACCCAGGAACUUGGUGCUGCUCACUCUUUCCACAGUCGCACCGUUGAUGGUCCGAGGAGCGUGCUGAGUGUGCGCUGUCCUGAAGUCAACAUCAGUCUCCUUCAUCUUCUCCACGUUCAGAGAGAGAUUGUUGUCCCUGCACCACCCAGCUAGGCGGCUCACCUCGCUCCUGUAGUUUGUCUCAUCUCUGUUGCUAAUGAGACCCACCACAGUCGUGUCAUCUGCAAACUUAAUGAAGAGGUUGGAGUUGUGUGACGUUGUGCAGUCAUGGGUCAGUAGAGUGAAGAGGAGGGGGCUCAACACACAUCCUUGGGGAGCCCCAGUGUUCAGUGUGAUGGUGCUGGAUGUGUUGCUGCCGACCCGUACUCUUACUUCCGUGUCUUGGGUUAGCGUCAUCACCUGGUCACAGUAGGUGGAGUCUUCUGUGCAGUGGUGCUGUUUUGUUGCUCAAAGCGAGCGAAGAAGGUGUUCAGCUCGUACAGCAGAGAGAUGUUGUUGUCACAGGUCCGUGGUGGGGGCUUGUAGUCCGUAAUGGUCUGUAUUCCCUGCCACAGGCUCCUAGUGUCUCUGCUUUUGUUGAAUUAAUAGGCUAUCCUCCUGGAGUGCUGUCUCUUAGCCUCUCUCAUGCCCCGGGACAGGUUGGUCCUGGCUGUUCUCAGACCCACCUCAUCUCCAGCUCUGAAGGCAGCAUUCCGCAUCUUCAGGAGUCUGUAGACCUCCCCUGUCAUCCACAGCUUCUGAAUGGCGGGGACAGUGAUGGUUUUUGUGACUGUUACAUCAUCAAUACACUUGUUGAUGUAGGCAGUGACAGUCUCUGAGUACUCCUGGAGGUCAGUGGUGUUAUUGCAUUUGGCAGCCUGCUUAAACAUGUCCCAGUCAGUUGUGUUGCAGCAGUCUUGAAGAACCUCUUAUGAUCCUUCUGGCCACAUUUUAAUCUGUUUGUGAACUGGUUUGGCGACUUUAAUGAGCGGUCUGUAAGCAGGCAUUAGCAUGACAGUGAUGUGAUCUGAGGCUCCAAGGUCGGGGAAGGGGAGGGCUUUGUAAGCUCCUCUCUGUGUGGUGUAAACAAAGUUCAAAAUGUUAUUACCUCGUGUUGGAAAGUUAAUGUGUUGGUGUAUUUUUGGAAACACACUCUUUAAGUCAGCAUGGUUGAAAUCCCCAGCUACGAUGAGAAAAGCAUCGGGGUGUGCUGUCUGCUGCUCACUGAUGUACUGGUACAGUUCAUUAAGUGCGUUGUUCCUGUUGCUGUUGAUCGGGGAAAUGUAAACCGAAAUGAGCAGUAUAGCAGUAUAUUCCCUCGGCAGAUAGAAUGGCCGGCACUUAAAAAUCAUAAACUUCACCAGGGGUGAGCAGUGUUUGCACAUCACAACAGUAUCACCGCACCACGUGUCAUUGAUGUAAACACAAAGCCCGCCGCCGCAGGUUUUUCCUCCCUCGACGAGAGCUCUGUCUGCUUGAUAGCACGUCAGCUGGUCGGGCUGAAUAGCGCCAUCUGGAAUCCUGUUGCUGAGCCAUGUUUUCGUGAACACAAAAACACAACAGUCUCUCACAGUCCUCUGAGUUGAACGUAGUAAUCUAGUGUAGUUAACGAGCAUACGUUAGCCAGUAUGAUGGUGCGGAUAGAUGGCUUGUGUGGGUUAGCCAUUAGCCUAGCCCAGAUACCUCCGCGCUUACCCCUCUUCUGCUUCCUCACACAAUGCUUGUGGCGCCUCCGCUGUGGGCGAGAUGCGGUGAUGGUGUAGGCCUCCGUAGCAUACCGAGAUCCCGCAGCUGUUCCGCGUGCUGUUCGGGGAGUUUAACUGUAAAAAUGUGGUUCUGCCGACAUUGAGCAGAAACUCGUGAAUGUGUACGCACUUACAGAUAGGUAGACGCUAUGACGACGUACAAAAGCACUGCGACUCAAAAAACAAAAAACACGAAAACACCAUUCUGUUGGGACAGAGAGAAGCCACUGCGUGUGGAUGCACCACCAUCUUGGUAGAUUCAUAAUAAGGGCUGUGAGAAAAUAAUGAAUAAAAAUAGUACAGCUGCUGUGAGUACAGACAGCAUAUUUCAAUCCAGUAACAUGACAACACACCGUUCCUCACAGAAAAACACUCCUCUGUCAGCCACUGAUAAUGGAAAGUAAAACUAUAGUGGUUGGAUUUAUUCACGCACAUUAAAAAUAGUUGUCAAAUCACAGUCUCCUCAUAUCGAAGCAUCUAAUCUUCGACUAUUCGAGGUCCCCCUUAGCUCACAUAAACACAGUCUAGUCAAGUCAAGUGACCUUUAUUUAUAUAGUUAACAAUACAGAUUGUCAAAGCAGCGUUACAUGACUCCAUUAAACAGGAAAAUAAUGUGUCAGUAAUACAAAAUGACAUUAGUAAACAUUAAAUUUUCCAGUUAAAGGCAUCAUUGAAUUCAGUGAUGUCAUCAUCCAGUUCAACUCAGUUUAAAUAUUAUUUGUGAAAUCAAGUCAAUGAUAUCGCUGGAAAUUAAGUGUCCUCAUUUGACAAUGGUAUCAUCAAUGUUAUUUAAACAACAAAAGAAAAUAAGAAAAUCACUCACUGCUCUUGAUGACUCAAGGGGCAUUAUCUGUAGUGAUAUACUGAUAUACUCUUAUCUGUAGUGAUAUACUGACAACAGAAUGCCAGGUGAAUCCCAGUUAAAUAGCUGUACAGCAUUAUUUGCUAAAUGUUUUAUCAAACAAUAUUAGUGGUGGGGCAAUAAAAAGUUAUGCGUGUAUUAGGGGUGACCCCAAAUAGUCGAUGAUUCGCUGCUUCGAUUCGAGGAGCCUGAUUCGACUACCAAUCUAAUAGUCAGAUAUUCGCGGGCUGUUAUGAUUAUGCCAUUCUGACUAUAUGGGGGAGCUCAAAUGUCUGAUUUCACAUAGAAUUUGCAGUUUUCUCCCAAUAAGUGAAUAUACAGCCUAUUAUGAUAAAGCCGUGAAUAAGAAUCUGAAACGAAAGAAGCUUCAAAUAAAUAUUUUAAAGUGCAUGAAUAAAUACAACCACCCCUGAGGAUUUAUGUUUCACUUUCCCUAAUCCAUGACCGACAGAGGAGCAUCUUGGCGGCAGGGAUUUAAAACUUUACUAAGACUCAAAGUGACACAGGCAGAGACUUCAUUUUUUCGAUCAGGUAGGGAUCAAGUGAUUUCAAAACAUUUCAGCCAGUUUAUAUAUAUCGUGGAUAUAUUAUUUACCUGAUAUAAAAUGCAUUUGGUUGAGUCAUGCAGUUCAUUGUAUCACUACGGUGAUAUUUCUUCAGCGCACAGCACGAGCAGGUCAAACUACAAUGCAGAAUAUUAAUAACUAUGACUGGACUGUCACACACAUACCAUUAUAAUGAGAACACCAUUAUAAUAAAACACUGUGAAUUUUUAGAGUUUAGCUGUCAUUUUUCUUCACAUUGUUUCGUGAAGAACACGUCCACAAAAGGAGUUCAUUCAGAGCCCCGCAGACACGUUCAUUUGCAUUCGGGCUCUUUUUGUAGAUAGCCUAUAAGUCCUAAUAUUAACAUUAUGUUGUAUAAAUAACGAAGCAUAUUCUACAUGAAAUUAUGAAUUUAAUCCCAUUGAUUAAAAACUUGCUAUCAAAUGCUCACUCUACUGGUCAUCUUCAGCACGCACAACUCUUAGUGUUUGAAUCUUAGGCCUGUUUGAACUGUUAGGGUUACGCUGACGUUUAGUGUUAACUAUCUUUUAAUCAAAACACAAAAACAUUAUUUACCCCGUUUGUAUCUGUUACACAUUACACAUUGGCAUUUGUUACACAUUUUCCCUGUGUGUUAACAUCAGUUAUUAUGACUGUCGAAUGUCUGACUUGACUCAAUGUAGUUUGCCCCGCCCCCAAUCAUAUGAUUCGACUAUUAGUCGAAUAUCAGCAAGAUCUGAAAAUUCUGUUUCAACUAUGAAAAUCCUUAGUUGGGGACAACCCCUAGUGUGUAUAUUCUCUCUUCCUUGUAGGGACCUUUUUAAUGCUGCUUUUUUGUCAUGCUGGUCAGAAUGAAGAUCAGCAGGAUGAACUAGUUUUCAGUAUUGAGCUUGCUCUGACAUCUCAAGAUAUUGCUGAGGUCACACAUCUUGAGGUCACUUAAUCUUGCAGAAUCCAUGGAGCACAGUGAUAAGGACCCACUUCCCUUGAGAGAUGACAAUGGAAUUGUUCUGCUCGGAGAGCAGAGGUCCUGAAAACUAAGCAGAAAUUAAAAUAUGCACUCUGUCCUCAUUUUUUAAAUACACACACCUACUGUAAUGAGUAGACAGACUCUGGAAUUGGAAUGCCGGUAGAUAAAUGGUAGGAACACACAAACACAGGAACACUACGAGGAGACAAAGGAGAUCGGGAGACUUGGAAUGAUAGUUCAGGUCAGUUGCUUAGCAUGAGCAAUGAGUCCUUUCCACAAUGGAGACCAUACAAUGUGGUGCUGGUGAUUAAUAAAUGACGGUCAUGUGCGGGUGAUCAGAACUCCGGUGAUUGGGAUUGUUGUUGAAUGGGAGAGCCUGGUGUUUCCGCGACACCUACAUGCUGUACUGUAUAUUUAAAAGGUCCAAUUACACUGUAUGCACCAAACAUAUUUUGCCGUUUUAAGCACCAAACCAUGAAGUGUCUCAGGUUUCCUCCACUGUUCCUGAAUUGAUUGUUUGUUUUGAAAUGUCUUCAGGUUUCAUUUUAAAUGUGGUUUGUGAUUUUCUGGAAGGUGCUUUAGGAUUUGAGUUCCCCCUUGUUUCCUCCAUAACGGUUUAGGUGUAAUGUCCUUUACAGAGACAUUUGCUAGUGUGUUCUGUUCAAAGUUUUAAAAUAAUAACUGUUUCAUCUGAUCUGAUGGCUUUUCAAGAAUAAAAAUUAAGAUGUCCAAAAACAAUAAAAGAUGCUUAGUGAUAAAUCUUUUAUUGAUCUGUCUUGAUAAACAUAGUUUCCCUGAUUUAUUAGUCUGGGCAGGACAUAUUGAAGUAAAAAAAAAAAAGGAAAUGUACAUUUGAUGACUGUAUUGAAAACUAAUUCGAAAAAAUCUCCCCUUAAGAUUUAAUAUGAAGCACAGUGAUAAAUGUAGCAUGGCUAAUGGUGCAUAGUUUAAAAAAGGGUGUAAUUUAUGGUGUUGAAUGGCACUGGUGCUUCCUCCUCGUCUGCUCUUCAGUGCUGUUUAUAAUGUCAAGGCUGCUGAACCAUGAACCAUAUUUUAAAGGAUACUCUACCCAAAAGUGAAAAUUCUUUCAUUUAGCCACCCUAAUGUCUUCCUAGAAGUAUAUUACUCUCUUUCUUCAGAUCAAACUAUAAGUACAUGUAAUGCAAGUGGAUUGCAUGACGCAAAACCUAAUUUCAUUUGCUUUUGAGUCACUGUUUGGGCCCGACCUGCUCUACAAAACUAGAACAGCAUGUUUAUUAUGGAGUAGCAUAUAGUUAGGAAUGUUUGACUAAGUCUUAACUAAUCUAAGAUGGACUGAUCUUCAAUUCUGAGCUCAUCCUAAUGUUUAAGUGAUGUCUGUUCUCGUCAUUGUUUCCAUACACCUUUUUAUUUUACACAGCAGCCUUGCAGAGUCCCUUUUUUCCUUUUCUUUUUCCCAACCUUUUAAUUUGACUUCUUCCUCUUUUAAUCUAUUCAGUAUCUGGCUCGGGCCUCCCAUGGACCUGUUUUUAAUUCCAGAGGACUUAAGGAGUGCUUGAAGAUAAUUUCAAUGCAUCCCAGCUGCUUCUACCUCUCCAGUAUUUCCCUUCAACACACUUCAGUCUUAGCAAAGGCCUUUGUUAGCUGUGAACUUAUUUUUCUUCUUGAAUUUGGAAAAAAUUAUGAUGGGUGCCCUUUUGUCAAUUGGUGGUUAAACAGAUGUUUUUAGUCUCAGGUCACUUUAAUCACUUUAAGCACUGGCUUUAAUUUGCUUGAUUGAGCUAAUAUCUUUUUGGAAAACUCUGAAUACUCAAACACAAACAUUGCUUGAAAAGCAUCUGCUAAUUUAGUUAGAAUAGGUAGAAUUGAUUUAUCUUUGCAUUAUCCACAAAUGUAAACUCUCAGUACAUUUCAGAAUGGAAUUAAUAAUGAUCAGCUGUCUAGUCAAAAAGCUUGUUAUUGUGGAAAAUAGACUUCCCGUCUAACCCUUACACUAUGCAUCUUACGAAUCUUCCAAUCCCCCAGACAGCACACAGAGACUCACUCACUGGCUAAUUCAUAUUGCACACAGAAAUGGUUAGAGUAAUUGCCGGUUCAUGGUCAGAAUAAAUUGCCAGGGACAUCUACUUUACAACCUUUAUCUCGUCAAACUAUGAAGAAUAUCUGUGUUAAACAGCACACAGGUGGCCAUUGCAUGGCUCUGUGCCAUGUUAUUUAAGUGCUUAUUCUUUUGUCACACAUGCACAUGCUUUAUAUUAAAUUAGUGCCUCCUAAUAGAAAAACAUUUGUUGGUGAUUUUAUUAUUAUUAUUAUUUAUUAAAAAUAAAAUUUUAUUUUA
Long non-coding RNA from Carassius gibelio (silver crucian carp), 9090 nucleotides. RefSeq lists it as uncharacterized. The record is from RefSeq and is a predicted model, not a curated record. Lineage: Eukaryota; Metazoa; Chordata; Actinopteri; Cypriniformes; Cyprinidae. The transcript is spliced from 2 exons.